Non-coding RNA from Mus caroli (Ryukyu mouse), 870 nucleotides. The record is from RefSeq and is a predicted model, not a curated record. NCBI's taxonomy places the organism in Eukaryota, Metazoa, Chordata, Mammalia, Rodentia, Muridae.
AAGCUCUCUCCAGCAGCCGAGCAAGAUGCCCAAAGGGAAGAAGGCCAAGGGGAAGAAGGUGGCCCCGGCCCCCGCCGUCGUCAAGAAGCAGGAGGCCAAGAAGGUGGUCAACCCUCUGUUCGAGAAGAGGCCCAAGAACUUCGGCAUUGGACAGGACAUCCAGCCCAAANGAGAUUUAACGCGCUUCGUCAAAUGGCCCCGCUACAUCAGGCUGCAGCGGCAAAGAGCCAUCCUCUACAAGCGGCUCAAAGUCCCUCCUGCCAUUAACCAGUUCACCCAGGCGCUGGACAGGCAGACAGCUACUCAGCUGCUUAAGCUUGCCCACAAGUACAGGCCAGAGACAAAGCAAGAGAAGAAGCAAAGGCUACUGGCCCGUGCCGAGAAGAAAGCUGCUGGCAAAGGCGACGUCCCAACUAAGAGACCACCUGUCCUCCGAGCAGGAGUCAAUACAGUCACCACCUUGGUGGAGAACAAGAAGGCUCAGCUGGUGGUGAUUGCCCAUGACGUAGACCCCAUUGAGCUGGUGGUUUUCCUACCUGCCCUGUGUCGAAAGAUGGGGGUGCCCUACUGCAUCAUCAAGGGAAAGGCCAGGCUGGGGCACCUGGUCCACAGGAAGACAUGCACCACUGUUGCCUUCACACAGGUUAACUCGGAAGACAAGGGUGCUCUGGCUAAGCUGGUGGAAGCUAUUAGGACCAAUUAUAAUGACAGAUAUGAUGAGAUCCGUCGCCACUGGGGAGGCAACGUCCUGGGUCCUAAGUCUGUGGCUCACAUUGCCAAGCUGGAAAAAGCAAAGGCUAAAGAACUCACCACUAAAUUGGGUUAAAUGUACACUAAAUUUUCUGUACCUAAAUAUAAUUACAAAACUAU